RNAcentral lists this long non-coding RNA (5723 nucleotides) under Marmota monax (woodchuck). Lineage: Eukaryota; Metazoa; Chordata; Mammalia; Rodentia; Sciuridae. The record is from RNAcentral.
UUUUUUUUAAAUUUUUUAUUGUUGGUUGUUCAAAACAUUACAAAUUUCUUGACAUAUCAUAUUCCACACUUUGAUUCAAGUGGGUUAUGAACUCCCACCUUCACCCCAUACACAGAUUGCAGAAUCACAUCAGUUACACAUCCNUGGCUGCACCAAUUUGCAGUCCCACCAGCAAUGUACAAGUGUACCCUUUUCCCCACAUCCUCGCCAGCACUUGUUGUUUGACUUCAUAAUGGCUGCCAAUCUUACUGGAGUGAGAUGAAGAAGCUGGGCUUAAAUAGAAUUAUCGUUGGCUAACUGCCAACCCUAAGUCCAUGCCAGACAUUACCAGCGGUGGUCAGGAUGUCCCACGCAUUCUCAGUGCUGUGCUCUAGGCACCCAAAACCCAUUGAUGAGAGUGAGCAUUUGAGAUAAAGUCUCUACCAUCAUGAAACAUUUCUAAUGGCACUUCUAGCACUCCAAAUUGCUAACUCUGGGGUGGACCCCAGGCUUCUGCUCCACAGAUGUCUUUGGCCCCCAUUUCCUCUGUGCCUGGAUUCCUUGUGACUUCCAAAAGACAGGUAGACAAUAAAAAUUUGUUUAUGCACAAAGUUUAUCAGUGCAUGGGAGCAGUCUACAGAAGAGAGAGGACUCUCCAAGGGUGAGCAUCCUGAUCUCUUGGUGCUGAGGCUUCCCGUCUGAUUUUGGUACCUUGACCCUGGAUGUGCACGACUCUGCUUGCCAGGUAUGUUGCAGGUCAAAGGAGCCUGUGAUGUUGACACUGUAUAGAGUGGCAGUCUUCCUUUUCAGAAUCAGGGUCAUUGACAGAAUUUCCUGGCAGCACAGGAUUUUUCCUGAUGGACAUCUGAGGCAAGUACUCUUUCCUAGGGGGGUGUCCUCCUUCAUAAUUUAGGGGAGAGAAGGUGCAAUCCAUGGCCUCCUUUGCCUCAGAGGAGACACAAAACAGCUUCCUGAGAGCACUCCUUCAAGGACUAAAUAUCCCAACCCACCCUAGGUGCAAGAGAGGACCUGCCUAUCUGGCUAGGACUCCAGAGACAGAUUCACACAGAGGAGUGUCACCCCUGUAAGGAGGGCAAUGCCUGAUGUCUGGAGAAGCCUGGAAUCUGGCUUUAUUUGAAUAACACUUUUGCCUUCAGGGCCAAGUGGGCUCACUGGAGUUAGAGGAAUCAUGGGUCACACGCUGAGGGGUUUGGGCUAGCAAAGUAGUUUUACACUUUAAUUUGAAUGCUUUAGAGACCUGCAGGCUCCCAUCUCUGGGUCCCCUCCUUCCCAAUAGCACACCCCUGCUCACUUUCUGGCCCUUUAGGGCAACAAAUGUGCUGUCCCUGGGACGAGGUUCAGACCAAGCAGUCUUGUUCUAGAAGGACCUUCAAAGGCAUCUGCAUCAGGGAUACACACAGCAUCCUCUGGGAGCCCAACAGCUGCAGGAGGAGGGCAGGCUGACCUCCUGUCACUCUUCAGUUAGAAAUACAGAGAACUUGAUCAUUGAACCCAGGGGCAUCCUACUAGUGAGCUACAUUCCCAGCCCCCAACUCCUUUUUUUUCCCCCCCAUUUUGGAGACAGUGUUACUAAGUUGCAUAGGGCCUCACUAAGUUGCUGAGGCUGGCCUUGAACUUGAUGAUCCUCAUGCCUCUCAGUCUUCUGAGUAGCUGGAUUCUCAGGCAUGCACCACUGUACCCAGCUUCCAUAGAUUUUCCAAGUAACCUCAAACCAGCCCCAUGCCUCUGUUUCUCCAUAUGUACAAAGACACCCUCACCAAGUUCUUCCAACUACAAGGGGACUACAGUCUUAUUCAGGUCUUAGUACUUCAUACCCCAGUGAGAUAGGAAUCCCCAUGAUGUGACUUGAGGCAACUCACUUCACCUCCCUGAGUCUCAUUUGCAAAAUGGGGAAAAUGAUAAAACUUAUUUUGAAAGGUUGUCUGUGAGUUAUGCAGAUCAUGUUGGUAGUGCACAUGGCACAUGGCAGGGACCCCUUAAGUGCUACCAUAUCAUUAAGACUAUUAGCUUCAUGUUUAUCAAAAUAUCUGGCAAUGCUGGGCAUGUUAGCACAUGCCUAUAAUCCCAGUUAUCCAGGAGGUUAAGGCAGGAGGAUCGCAAGUUCUGAACCAGCCUGGGCAACUUAGACCCUGUCUCAAAAUGAAAUUUUUAAAAAAGGGUUGGGGAUUGUGGAUACAGCCCAGUGGUAGAGCACUUACCUAGCAAUGUACAAGGUCCUGGUUCCAUCCCCAGUACCAUCAAAAAUAAAAAUAAAUAAAAUGAAAGUCAUCUGGUAAAUUGAAGACUCUGCUCUGCCCAGUAGAAAUGGCAGGAAUGAUUGGCAUGCCCUUUGUUUGGGGAUCCCCAUCUGCUUGGCUGUGUAUCAAAAACCCACUUAAGCUGAGGCCAGGCCAGGAGAGCAUCAGGGAUGCACAGCCCCUCCCACUGCCCACUUCCUCUGGCUGAGCUCCUGCUUCUAGCUGCCUGCUGCCUGACAGCCAUCUUCACCUUCUGGCAGAUCCAAGCAUCCAUCCACAGGUGGAAGGAAAUUCCUACAACUUGUUGGGAAGUGGCCCAGCCCCAGCUGGGUGGAGAUAUACACACCAGAAUUGCCAGGGACAUUUCCAUCACUAAGGUUGUUCUCUGGGUUGGGAAUCCUUUAUCACCAAAGGGAAGGGGGCCAUCACUGAGUCCCAGGUGACCCUCCUGGAAAGGUUUAGGACACAGCUCUGGGUGCAGGUGAGCAUGUUUAUCAAAAUAUCUUCAUUAGACCCUGAUCCUGCCUGCGGCUCCUAAAGAACCUGGGGAUUUUCACUACUAGACACAGUGAGCUCAAGGCAGGACUCUUAGCUUGAUGUCUUUGUGGUUGAGCACAACGGAUACCAAUAAACAUUUGCCGGAUGAAAGAAUAGUUGUCAUCUUUUCCUGGGUUGGAGACUGCCACUCUCUGGGAAUCUGAUUUGACUGAUCAGUAAUUUUGUAACUGACCAGUCUCUGACCUCUCUUAUUGAUUCUUGCUAUUUUCAAAAUGAUUUCACCCUUGAUUUUCUAAGUAAACAAUUAUGUAACUUACAACAACACAGUUUUGGUGCCUCCUUUCCAAUAGUUUCAAACUCCUGCUCCUCCCUUCUAACUUUUUCAACUUUUUCUUGUGUCUUGAUACAUGAACUAGAACUUCACAGCAACAUGUCAACAAAAGCUAUGAGAACCAGCAUCCCUGCCUGGCUCCAACUUCAACUAGAAUGCCUCGGGUGUUUGUAACCAUGCCCUGACCUUCCCACCUCUCCCACUUCCUCUGCAGCUUCUCAGUCUCCCUUUUCUCUCCUCUAGUCACUCUUAGCUUUGUAAGUGACCUGUGUACUACAGAUCAGAGAGCAAAGGAAAAUGCUCACAAUGCCAGUUACAUCAAAAGUUCUCAUACAACAGUGUGUACCAGGUCUCCUGGGCCAGGUGCUAGAAUUACAUGCAGAUUUCUGGCCUCCACCCCUAGGGGCAUUUUUAGCAGCCCCUCCCCAACCCUGGGAGUUUCUGGUACAGAUUAUACAGGACUAUAUUUUGAAAACAACUGAAUUUCCAAAGCAGUGGACACCUGCCUACAACCUGAAUCAAUCUCUGAAAGGGUUUGAGCAGCCCAACAAUAGAGUGGAACCCUUUGGGUGGGGAGGAUCUGGAGGUUGGGCCUAGGCUAGAAACUUCCUGGGAAGGGGGAAGCCAGGAUAAAGAGGAGGGACCCUACCAGAUCCAGACAUGGCCUUGCUGCUGUCUGUGUUAUCCAUCUCAUUUACCCUGAUGUCCACCCUGGGGUUCUUUGCAGUGUCAAGGACUUUCUUUCCAGUGUCAAGGUUCUUUCCAGUGUCAAAGGUGGCCACAGUGUUCUGGGAUACCCGACGCUCUCAGCACUGAAACGAUCUGUGUAGGGAUGGUCAGUCAUUGUGAGGGCUGGAAGUCCCCCUUGGUACCUCUCCCCUCAGCCUCCUGCCUACCUAUGAUCAGAACCCCAGAAAACACCUGGCUGAGGAACACAGGCUUCUUAUCAUCGAGACCUGCUGCAGGUUCAUAGGUAAGGGCCAUCCAUCCAGUAGACUCAUCAACUCGCCUUGCUCGUCUCAGCUCAUCUGAUGCACACCAGGAGGUGGGAUCAUUGUUCACCCCUCAGCAGAACAAGAUGUAGCUAACCCAGCCUGGCCACCGAGCCCCCCCAGUGUAGACACCCUGAGCACCUCAGAACAUUUUCAGGACACCGUCUUUCCAGGGCAAGCAAUGCACCCAAAAGGACCGAGGAGCAUACCAUCCAUGUGACCUGCGGCAGAUGGUCAUGAGACCUCCCUUUAAAGCUUUAGGAUGACCUGGGGAAAGCCUAUGUUGGCUUCGGAAGCUUCCAUUUUUAAAUUAAUUGCCAGUGGCCUGCCUCUCUCUCAACCUCUGAAGAACCCUGGCUAGACAACGUUUCCACUUCAUUAAAGCCAGGGAGAAGGCAAAGCCCCAAGAAUUCAUCUCUUAAAGCCUUGGCACAUGGUAAGUUCUCUAUAAUUAAAAAUCAAUAAAUGGGGCUGGGAUGUGCUUGCCCAGCAUGCAUAAGGCUCUGGAUUCAAUCCCCAGAACGGGAAAAAAUUAGCAAAGGACCCUAAUUUAGAUUUUAAACGUAAUCUCUAAAAACAACUGUAUGUGUAAACAGGCACAGAGGAACCCUCUGAAAACACUACACAUGACAGUCACAAACCUUUGAACUGGCAGCGUGGAUUGGACCACACCCACCCAUUCUCCUACCCCCUACCCCGCCCCAGGUCUUAAAGUUACUUAACUAUGCCUUGCAAAAAGCACAAAUUUCACUGCCUUGUGUCCCACCCCACCCCACCCUACCCCCGGCAUUAAAGAUGUCAACCUGGUUAAACUCUUACAAUAUGCCACCAUUUCUAAAUCCUGUUUUGGGGUUUGUUCAACCUCGAUUUAUAAGGAGCUCCCAAAAAUGGUGUGGCUCAGUCCUCUUAUGACCUCUUAGGUCACACGUCUAAACAAGCCUUUUCACUUAUCAAAAUCAGAAAUAUGGCAAAAGCCACCCCACACCCAGAAUGAUCCAAAGGAGUAAAAAUGGGCAGAAGGAGACUGCAAAGGGGCCUGAUCCAAGCAGGGCGCAAACUCCCUGAAUUGUCACCAGGACGCCUCUCUGCUCUUGUCUGAGGGUUUCCUUCUGCCCCUUCUAGAGGCCCCAGGCUGUUUGGUCCUGCUGGAUCCAGGCCAUCUCCAGAGCAGGGUGGGGAGCAGGGAGAGUAGAGAAGGCAGAGCUAUGGGGGCUCCAAGGACCCUCAGACUUAGAGCUCCCAGGUACUCUGGUUUGCUCCUCCCAGGUGGAGGUAGCCUAUCUAAGAGGACCCCUGCAGUCCUCCCCUCCUGCCCUCAAGGAAUCCCCUCUCCUAGACCUAGUGACUAGAUGGGCUGAACCAAACCGCUCAUUUCUAACCAACAGAAUGCGACUCUCUCUUCUGAGAUGAGGUCCUGCACACUUCCUGCUGGCUCCAAUGGAAGCCGACCGCCACGCUGUGACAAGGCCCUCAGGACGAGGACCUGAGACUGUCAGCAACCAGGCAAGGAGCCUGGAAGUGAAUCCUCCCCCAGAGGAAACUUGAGAGGCCUGCAGCAUGCGAGACCAUGAUCCACAGGAUCCAGGAGACUGCACCCGGAUUCUUGGCCCCACAUGUGUGAGCUGAUAAAUGUUGUGUAAGUGCUAUAUCUCAGGGACACUUGUU